Felis catus (domestic cat) is the source of this 978-nucleotide long non-coding RNA. RefSeq lists it as uncharacterized. NCBI's taxonomy places the organism in Eukaryota, Metazoa, Chordata, Mammalia, Carnivora, Felidae. The transcript has 3 exons. The record is from RefSeq and is a predicted model, not a curated record.
AUAUGGAGACAGUGGCAUUUAUAAAUUGUGCUCUAUGCUUAUGACUGAAUUGGAAUAUGAUGGUCAGGAAAGCCAACUACUAAGAAUUCAUCUGCAGUCGGAAAAGGCCUCUGCCACACAGCAGUCAGUCACCUACAAUGAAUACAUUCCCAGGCCUCGGGCUUCAAGCAUGAGUAUUUUGGAAACCUCUCCAGCGACUUGGAUAUACUCCUCACUGCACACCUCAUGGCUAGAAGGGACCAUCUGGGAGAGGAAGGUUUUUUAGUUUUCUCCUCAGUAUCAUCUGUGCCUAGCAUGAUACCCAUGUGGUGGUAGCAUGAAAGCAAAUGAUGUCCUCUUUCGCUUGGCAAGAGAGAAACAGAAGAGAGAGAAAGGAAACAAAGCUCUCACCUGUAAGACAGGAAGACUCAUUAAUGGAUGAAUUAGAACUAGACUUGAGUCUAAAAGAAAAUUUUAUGUGCAUAUACAACUUCAGAAGGGGGGAUAGUUUUCUAGGAAAUAGCACGCGCAAAAUACAUACAGAUUGAGAUAACUAUUCCAUAAAGAAUAGGGAAGAAAUUCGUGUGAUGGAAAAGUUAACAACACAUGUACAUUUUAUUAAUUUAAAUAGGCAUGUUGGCACCAAGUAUAGCUUUUCUGCCAUUCCUUUUUCUAGUUCAGAUGUAGCAUCAUGAGAUUUGAGGCUGGAUGAUUCCACAUUCUAAAUGUUUACAAGCUAAAAUACUUUAAAGAAAUUCACAUUUUUCAUGCUACAGUGUAUUGAUUUCUAUCUCAAUGAAAGGUAAAACUAACUAUUUACUAACUACCUUCUUGCACAAAGCUGAUCUUUCUUGUCUUUAGAUGAUUCUGUAUGUUUUGUCUGUCUGAAUUGGCUCCCACUCACCUGGUCUCUUACUACAGAAUUCAGCAAAGGCUUUACCUCCUCAGUAAUUUGCCCCUGAUCACUGUACCUUGGAUUAAAAGUCUCUUAUACUCUAA